This is a long non-coding RNA of Cervus elaphus (red deer), 1354 nucleotides long. RefSeq lists it as uncharacterized. NCBI's taxonomy places the organism in Eukaryota, Metazoa, Chordata, Mammalia, Artiodactyla, Cervidae. The transcript has 4 exons. The record is from RefSeq and is a predicted model, not a curated record.
AAGCGCCCGACAAAGGCACAUGUCAGCAAGUCCUCCAUCCGGCCGUUCGGGGGACUUGGCAGACCAGCCGGAGUUUCCUGGCAUUUGGUUCUGAAGUAGGAUAGAAGAGACUAAGGGUCACCUGUGAAUUUUAUGCUGGAUCUGCACAGAAGAACACUUGCAGGGAAGAAACGAAACCAAGAAGGAGCCUUAAGGCAGCGUCAAACUAUGACUUCAAAGAAAUGGUUUUCAGACUCCCAUUUCAGCGUGUUGCCUCACUUUUAAUGUGACGCUUAUCUACUUGUAAAUAUAGCAUGGGGCAGCAAGCAAAGGUGCUAUAUGUAAUUCACUAUAUUAUACAACGCACCUCAUUUUAUGUGUGUCAGGCAAGUUUGGUCAAACUUAUCUAGCUGUGGCUGAAUAUGUUAUCACCAGUUUACGAGAGGGCUGCUGUCUGAGCAAACACGUUCUCAUAAUCUAGGAGGUACUUGGAGUAAUGUGACCUCAGAGUAUUUACAAGAAGCGAGAACAUUCACUGGAAUCACAGCUGUCUUUUGGCUGUGGACAAAUGUAAAUUCUUUUUUUUUCUUAAGAAAAUGACACUGCCUCCCGCGAUGGCCCCGUCCCUCCCUUGGCAGGCAGAGGAGCUCGCGGCUGGCGCUCCAAGCCCUCCCUCGGCUGCAUCAGCCCCGAGUCAGUCACUUUGCCCCCGCAGCGCCUUUUGCUGUGUUUUUCUAAAAUGACACGAACAUUUGUGUCUUUGGCGGGCAUUUAGAAAUUUUAAGGGAAACAAUGGUGGGGGAGUGGGAGUCAUUAUAGUUAUUGUGGACUUCUAAUUUUAUUUUUUAAAGCUCAGUUCUGGACAGUGAUAACCUAGCUUGUUGACCGCAGAGAAGCAGGUGACAUGGCCAGUGUGGUCUAAUCACUAGUGACCUGCGAUGCCUGAGGGACUGGUGGUAGGUGAGGGGGCCUUGAAAGAAGCUGAAGUAUACAAAAAUCAAGAUCCAAGGAAACAAUACAUGUAUUUCAAGGACUUAAAGAAAAAGUCACUGUCAGAUCCUAAGAACUAAGAAUUUCAGUUUCCUUUCAUGAAACAGAAGAUUGGAUGCUGGUUUGAAAGCUCUUUUGAAAAAUCUAAUGUUGUGAACAUUCACUUGAUGACCUCCAGCAAAGACAUGAACUUGAGCCUCUUUCUCAGGUUGGGGGCUAAGCUCAGGUGUGUUUCCAGAAGUAUAAUUGCUGAAUCUUUGGCAAUACUAUGUUCAAUGUUUUAAAAAAACAUCUUUACCACUGAAGAAUACUUUGGCUACCUGAUGUGAAGAGCUGACUCUUUAGAAAAGACCCUGAUGCUGGGAAAGAUUGAAGGCAGGAGGAG